UACGUAGGUGGCAAGCGUUGUCCGGAAUUAUUGGGCGUAAAGCGCGCGCAGGCGGUCCUUUAAGUCUGAUGUGAAAGCCCCCGGCUCAACUGGGGAGGGUCACGCGAUACUGAUCGACUGGAAGGCAGGAGAGGGUAGUGGAAUUCCCGGUGUAGUGGUGAAAUGCGUAGAUAUCGGGAGGAACACCAGUGGCGAAGGCGACUACCUGGCCUGUUCUUGACGCUGAGGCGCGAAAGCUAGGGGAGCAAACGGG
Molecule: ribosomal RNA, 253 nt
Filed under: uncultured bacterium
Lineage: Bacteria
Description: partial 16S ribosomal RNA
Rfam family: Bacterial small subunit ribosomal RNA
Source: RNAcentral